RNAcentral lists this long non-coding RNA (215 nucleotides) under Elaeis guineensis (African oil palm). RNAcentral describes it as "long non-coding RNA (EGUI_LNC076629)". The record is from RNAcentral. Lineage: Eukaryota; Viridiplantae; Streptophyta; Magnoliopsida; Arecales; Arecaceae.
GUGGAUUAUGGCGAUAAAAUUUCUAUUUUGCCCAUACAUAUCAUAAUUAUUAUGGUUUAAUGGGAGCAGGCUGUUGAAGUAUUUUUCAUAGUCUUUAAUUAUUGAUAUAUGGCCAAAUUUGUAUCCAACAGUCAGAAUUUUUACAUAGAAGUAGUUAUCCAAGGAUUGUUUUCUUUUCCCCUUGUGUCCAUACGAAUACUAUAAAUACAUGAUCU